UACGUAGGGGGCUAGCGUUGUCCGGAAUUAUUGGGCGUAAAGCGCGUGUAGGCGGUUCGAUUAGUCUGCUGUGAAAGUCGGGGGCUCAACCCUCGAAUGCCGGUGGAUACUGUCGGGCUAGAGUACGGAAGAGGCGAGUGGAAUUCCUGGUGUAGCGGUGAAAUGCGCAGAUAUCAGGAGGAACACCAAUUGCGAAGGCAGCUCGCUGGGACGUUACUGACGCUAAGACGCGAAAGCGUGGGGAGCAAACAGG
RNAcentral lists this ribosomal RNA (253 nucleotides) under uncultured bacterium. RNAcentral's name for it is "partial 16S ribosomal RNA". It matches the Rfam family "Bacterial small subunit ribosomal RNA", at positions 524 to 776 of the family's 1533-position model. The record is from RNAcentral.